AUUGAACGCUGGCGGCAGGCCUAACACAUGCAAGUCGAACGAGUGGCGGACGGGUGAGUAAUGUCUGGGAAACUGCCCGAUGGAGGGGGAUAACUACUGGAAACGGUCGCUAAUACCGCAUACCAUCGGAUGUGCCCAGAUGGGCUUAGCUUGUAGGUGAGGUAACGGCUCACCUAGGCGACGAUCCCUAGCUGGUCUGAGAGGAUGACCAGCCAAACUGGAACUGAGAAACGGUCCAGACUAAUACGGGAGGCAGAAGGGGGGAAUAUUGCACAAGGGGCGCAAGCCUGAUGCAGCCAGGCCGCGUGGAGGAAGAAGGCCGUCGGGUUGUAAAGUACGUGAAGCGGGGAGGCGGUACCCGCAGAAGAAGCACCGGCUAACUCAGUGCCAGCAGCCGCGGUAAUAC
This 406-nucleotide ribosomal RNA is filed under the name uncultured bacterium. RNAcentral describes it as "partial 16S ribosomal RNA". It matches the Rfam family "Bacterial small subunit ribosomal RNA", at positions 29 to 526 of the family's 1533-position model. The record is from RNAcentral.